GGGCGGGGCUAAAAAGGGGGGCCGGGGGUUUUUCCUUUGUUAGGGGGGGGGGGGAAAAACCGGGGGAACCCCCCUUAAAGACUGGGAAAUUCCGGAAACCGGGGUUAAUCCGGAUGUUUGGAUUGACCCGCCAUGGUUCAAUCAAAAAAGGUGGUUUUAGCUACCAUUUCCAGAUGGACCCGCGCCCCUUAGCUAGUUGGUGAGGUAACGGUUCACCAAGGCGACGAUGCGUAGCCGACCUGAGAGGGUGAUCGGCCACACUGGGACUGAGACACGGCCCAGACUCCUACGGGAGGCAGCAGUAGGGAAUCUUCCGCAAUGGACGAAAGUCUGACGGAGCAACGCCGCGUGAGUGAUGAAGGUUUUCGGAUCGUAAAACUCUGUUGUUAGGGAAGAACAAGUACCGUUCGAAUAGGGCGGUACCUUGACGGUACCUAACCAGAAAGCCACGGCUAACUACGUGCCAGCAGCCGCGGUAAUACGUAGGUGGCAAGCGUUGUCCGGAAUUAUUGGGCGUAAAGCGCGCGCAGGCGGUUUCUUAAGUCUGAUGUGAAAGCCCCCGGCUCAACCGGGGAGGGUCAUUGGAAACUGGGGAACUUGAGUGCAGAAGAGGAGAGUGGAAUUCCACGUGUAGCGGUGAAAUGCGUAGAGAUGUGGAGGAACACCAGUGGCGAAGGCGACUCUCUGGUCUGUAACUGACGCUGAGGCGCGAAAGCGUGGGGAGCGAACAGGAUUAGAUACCCUGGUAGUCCACGCCGUAAACGAUGAGUGCUAAGUGUUAGAGGGUUUCCGCCCUUUAGUGCUGCAGCAAACGCAUUAAGCACUCCGCCUGGGGAGUACGGUCGCAAGACUGAAACUCAAAGGAAUUGACGGGGGCCCGCACAAGCGGUGGAGCAUGUGGUUUAAUUCGAAGCAACGCGAAGAACCUUACCAGGUCUUGACAUCCUCUGACAACCCUAGAGAUAGGGCUUCCCCUUCGGGGGCAGAGUGACAGGUGGUGCAUGGUUGUCGUCAGCUCGUGUCGUGAGAUGUUGGGUUAAGUCCCGCAACGAGCGCAACCCUUGAUCUUAGUUGCCAGCAUUCAGUUGGGCACUCUAAGGUGACUGCCGGUGACAAACCGGAGGAAGGUGGGGAUGACGUCAAAUCAUCAUGCCCCUUAUGACCUGGGCUACACACGUGCUACAAUGGGCAGAACAAAGGGCAGCGAAGCCGCGAGGCUAAGCCAAUCCCACAAAUCUGUUCUCAGUUCGGAUCGCAGUCUGCAACUCGACUGCGUGAAGCGGAAUCGCUAGUAAUCGCGGAUCAGCAUGCCGCCCCCC
Molecule: ribosomal RNA, 1319 nt
Filed under: Bacillus licheniformis
Lineage: Bacteria; Bacillati; Bacillota; Bacilli; Caryophanales; Bacillaceae
Description: bacterial SSU rRNA
Rfam family: Bacterial small subunit ribosomal RNA
Source: RNAcentral